AGAGUUUGAUCAUGGCUCAGGAUAAACGCUGGCGGCGUGCUUUAUGCAUGCAAGUCGAACGGUCCUUCUUUGGAAGGAUAGUGGCGAACGGGUGAGUAACACGUAAGCAACCUGCCCCUAAGUGGAGAAUAACCUCGGGAAACCGGGGCUAAUACUGCAUAUGGUCCUUCACUGCAAGGUGAAGGACUAAAGCCUUCGGGUGCUUGGGGAGGGGCUUGCGGCCGAUUAGCUAGUUGGUGGGGUAACGGCUUACCAAGGCGACGAUCGGUAGCUGGUCUGAGAGGAUGGUCAGCCACACUGGGACUGAGAUACGGCCCAGACUCCUACGGGAGGCAGC
This 337-nucleotide ribosomal RNA is filed under the name uncultured bacterium. RNAcentral's name for it is "bacterial SSU rRNA". It matches the Rfam family "Bacterial small subunit ribosomal RNA", at positions 8 to 352 of the family's 1533-position model. The record is from RNAcentral.